UCGGAUCGCAGGCUGCAACCCGCCUGCGUGAAGUCGGAAUCGCUAGUAAUCGCGGAUCAGCAUGCCGCGGUGAAUACGUUCCCGGGCCUUGUACACACCGCCCGUCACACCAUGAGAGUCGGGAACACCCGAAGUCCGUAGCCUAACAGCAAUGAGGGCGCGGCCGAAGGUGGGUUCGAUAAUUGGGGUGAAGUCGUAACAAGGUACC
Molecule: ribosomal RNA, 208 nt
Filed under: uncultured bacterium
Lineage: Bacteria
Description: partial 16S ribosomal RNA
Rfam family: Bacterial small subunit ribosomal RNA
Source: RNAcentral